GUGUAUUUAACGCGAACGUCCAUCUUUGAGGGUCUCUUUUUUCACUUCAACACAUCAGGAGCACAUGCAGUACAUUGCUUGCAAAGGGGUCUCCGCUAGAGUAAUCAUGGCCAAGUGCCUUGACGCGAACAAACUUGGACAACAGUACAACGAUGAUUGCGGGUGAAGAUGGUUUGAAGUGCUGCUGUAAAACGUGCACAUAGCCCACUUGACCGGAAAAUUACACUCAUGACAGCUGAACGUGCUUCAUGAAGUUGUCGGUGACCAUGGAAUAAGAUUCAUCCACAAAGAACUCAUGGAAAAACUCUUGUGUUGCAACGAGCGUGUUGUUGCCACAAAUCCCAGGGUGUGACAUGGAGCGAGGUGGCUGUUUCAGAAAACUCCAAUCACUCGACCUUGCAUUCAUUGGGCUUUAAUAUGGAUAAAUACACACUAUAAAAUACAGUGAUAAUCCUAUUCAUUGCAAUAGCAACUUGUAAAAUAAGGUAGCGAUAGCAUUUGCUUCUAAAUUCAUGCUGGUUUAACAUUUUUGCAAUUUCAAGUGAUCACAAAAUAAAUCUGUGAAACAUGGGGUAGGCGCUAACAAGCAAUAGCCUAUGCCAUUUAUGCUUCUGUGUAAUACCAGAUGUAAACUGUCCAAAUAAACUACGUUUGGAUUGAAUAUUCAAUAAAUGAUGACGUGGAAUAAACUAA
Molecule: long non-coding RNA, 693 nt
Organism: Boleophthalmus pectinirostris (great blue-spotted mudskipper)
Lineage: Eukaryota; Metazoa; Chordata; Actinopteri; Gobiiformes; Gobiidae
Exons: 4
Source: RefSeq, a predicted model, not a curated record